UACUAGAGUAGCACUCGCAUAUCAAUAAGCGGAGGAAAAGAAACUAACAAGGAUUCCCUUAGUAACGGCGAGUGAAGCGGGAAGAGCUCAAAUUUGAAAUCUUCAAGGUUCUACCUUGACGAAUUGUAGUUUAUAGAAGUGUUUUCUGUUAGUGGAGUGGCAAAAGUUCUUUGGAAUAGGACAUCAUAGAGGGUGAGAAUCCCGUAUUUGGUCAUUCCUCCUAGCGUUGUGAUACACUUUCAACGAGUCGGAUUGUUUGGGAAUGCAGUCCAAAAUGGGUGGUAAAUUUCAUCUAAAGCUAAAUAUUGGCGAGAGACCGAUAGCGAACAAGUACCGUGAGGGAAAGAUGAAAAGAACUUUGUAAAGAGAGUUAAACAGUACGUGAAAUUGUCAAAAGGGAAGCGUUUGACACCAGCGUUGUUUUUCCGAAAAUCAAUUACGAAUGUUUUAUUUUUGAGGAGUUAUGACUUCAUCGGCUUGCUCCUUUCUUUAUGAAACUUUCUUAAUGCACUUUUCGGUUAACAAGUCAACAUCAAUUUCUUUUGUUGUAAAAGGGUAAUGAGGAAGGUGGCUUUACUUUCGGAGUAAAGUGUUUAUAGCCUUUUACCUCUGCAAUCGGAGAGAUUGAGGUCUGCAGCGUAGAUCCUUCGGGGUUAGAUACAGUUUGUGCUAAGUUAUAGCUUUUUCAUAGACAACAUUGUUGACUAUGAUUUAAGUCAUUGUAGCUUACUCGCUUAUGCUAUUUUACCUACGCUUAGGAUGUUGAAGAUGUAGCACAUCAU
Molecule: ribosomal RNA, 782 nt
Filed under: uncultured Neocallimastigales
Lineage: Eukaryota; Fungi; Neocallimastigomycota; Neocallimastigomycetes; Neocallimastigales
Description: partial large subunit ribosomal RNA
Rfam family: Eukaryotic large subunit ribosomal RNA
Source: RNAcentral